RNAcentral lists this ribosomal RNA (493 nucleotides) under uncultured bacterium. Its description in RNAcentral is "partial 16S ribosomal RNA". It matches the Rfam family "Bacterial small subunit ribosomal RNA", at positions 29 to 523 of the family's 1533-position model. The record is from RNAcentral.
AUUGAACGCUGGCGGCAUGCUUCACACAUGCAAGUCGAACGGUAACGGGUUAAGCUGACGAGUGGCGAACGGGUGAGUAAUGCAUCGGAACGUGCCCGGUCGUGGGGGAUAACGCAGCGAAAGCUGCGCUAAUACCGCAUACGAUCUGAGGAUGAAAGUGGGGGACCGUAAGGCCUCGCGCGAUCGGAGCGGCCGAUGUCAGAUUAGGUAGUUGGUGGGGUAAAGGCUCACCAAGCCAACGAUCUGUAGCUGGUCUGAGAGGACGACCAGCCACACUGGGACUGAGACACGGCCCAGACUCCUACGGGAGGCAGCAGUGGGGAAUUUUGGACAAUGGGCGAAAGCCUGAUCCAGCAAUGCCGCGUGCAGGAAGAAGGCCUUCGGGUUGUAAACUGCUUUUGUACGGAGCGAAAAGGUCUCCUCUAAUACAGGGGGCUCAUGACGGUACCGUAAGAAUAAGCACCGGCUAACUACGUGCCAGCAGCCGCAGUAA